Long non-coding RNA from Solenopsis invicta (red fire ant), 766 nucleotides. RefSeq lists it as uncharacterized. The record is from RefSeq and is a predicted model, not a curated record. NCBI's taxonomy places the organism in Eukaryota, Metazoa, Arthropoda, Insecta, Hymenoptera, Formicidae. The transcript is spliced from 3 exons.
AAUUUUUCUGGCAAUUAUCUUUUGUUUUUCCGAGUUUUGUGAAUUUCUUAAUCUUGUUAUAUUUACUUUGUAGUCGAAAAUUUUAUCUGCGUAAUAAUCUAAGAUAGAUGUUUGAUCAUGUUUGACAAUUGACGAUUGCAAGACUCGUGAGAAACGCAAUUUCAAUCUGCCUACGAGGGAUCAGCAAUAUCAUCAACAUCCACUGCAUAUAAUGUUAAAGAAUUCUGGUCUAUUUUAGAACUACUUGCAUAUAAUUUAUCCGGCGACAUAAGAGAUAAAAUUCUUUUCUUUAUCAUCGUGUUUAUGCAAGUUUCGUUUCUUGCUUUUAAUGCCGACUUAAUAACGCAAAUGGUGGUUGCCGACAAAGGUUUUGCUAUUACAUUUUUAACAAUAGAAAUGCACUUACAAGGAGAGGCCGCGAGAUAAGAGUCACCGACUUUAAUAAAAUUUUAUGAGAGUGUAGUAUUUAUUUACACAUUUACUGCAGUUUGUUGUGGAUAUUGAGCAUUUUCGUGAAAAUAAUACUUUUUUUGUAAAUUAAAUUUUAUAUUUUUAAAUUGUUAUAUACAAGGUUUAGACCAUUUUUAAUUAUUUAACAUAAAAUAUGUUAUUAAAAGAAAUUAAUAUAUGCAAUAAUUUUAUAUAUGCAGAAUAAUUAAAAGAAUUGUAUUAUAUGUAAUUACAUCGUAGUGUUAGGUGUAUAUUUUUAGUUGUAUUGUGUUUAAAAUAUUAAAAAAUAUAUUAUUCUUAAAUUAUAAUAAAAAAA